RNAcentral lists this ribosomal RNA (440 nucleotides) under uncultured bacterium. Its description in RNAcentral is "partial 16S ribosomal RNA". It matches the Rfam family "Bacterial small subunit ribosomal RNA", at positions 338 to 795 of the family's 1533-position model. The record is from RNAcentral.
CCUACGGGCGGCAGCAGUGGGGAAUAUUGCACAAUGGGGGAAACCCUGAUGCAGCGACGCCGCGUGAGCGAAGAAGUACCUCGGUAUGUAAAGCUCUAUCAGCAGGGAAGAAAGUGACAGUACCUGACUAAGAAGCCCCGGCUAACUACGUGCCAGCAGCCGCGGUAAUACGUAGGGGGCAAGCGUUAUCCGGAUUCACUGGGCGUAAAGGGAGCGCAGGCGGCGCGGCAAGUCUGAUGUGAAAGCCCGGGGCUCAACCCCGGGUCUGCAUUGGAAACUGUCGAGCUAGAGUGUCGGAGGGGUAAGCGGAAUUACUAGUGUAGCGGUGAAAUGCGUAGAUAUUAGGAGGAACACCAGUGGCGAAGGUAGCCUGCUGGACUGUAACUGACGCUGAUGCUCGAAAGUGUGGGUAUCAAACAGGAUUAGAUACCCUAGUAGUC